Molecule: long non-coding RNA, 328 nt
Filed under: Manihot esculenta (cassava)
Lineage: Eukaryota; Viridiplantae; Streptophyta; Magnoliopsida; Malpighiales; Euphorbiaceae
Description: long non-coding RNA (MESC_LNC009421)
Source: RNAcentral
UUGUAGUUGGGGUAUAUGACUGUUUGAGACCCCUAGGAACUUGUAUGCAUGUUUUGGUUAAGAUUUAUGCAUGAUUUGAGGUUUUGGGAGGCAAGGGGUUCAGGUGAACCAAGUUUCUGCCCUUCUAGCAGAAACCAGGUUCGGCCGCCGAAGGGAGUUUCGGCCGCCGAACCCCCUUUGUGGAGGCAGCAUUCGGCUGCCGAAGUUGCCCCCGAAAAGAGACUUUCGUCUCUGUCUGGGACUUUCGGCCGCCGAAGGUUCCGCCGAAAGUGCCUGACUUUCGUCUCUGGAGGGACUUUCGGCCGUCGAAGGUGCCGCCGAAAGUGCC